This 550-nucleotide RNase P RNA is filed under the name Candidatus Uhrbacteria bacterium RIFOXYB2_FULL_45_11. RNAcentral's name for it is "RNase P RNA component class A". It matches the Rfam family "Bacterial RNase P class A". From Rfam's summary of the family: Ribonuclease P (RNase P) is a ubiquitous endoribonuclease, found in archaea, bacteria and eukarya as well as chloroplasts and mitochondria. Its best characterised activity is the generation of mature 5'-ends of tRNAs by cleaving the 5'-leader elements of precursor-tRNAs. Lineage: Bacteria; Candidatus Uhriibacteriota. The record is from RNAcentral.
AAGGAUGAUCGGGUGAUUACCUGGACAAACGUCUGGGAGGAAAGUCCGAACACCUCGCAUACAGCAAUGUAUGCGGACAAGAAAAGUUGUUAACGACAACCAAGGAUACGCAUUCGAGCGCGAGGCGUUGGAGCAAUUCACGCUUUGAUCCCGAAUACAAACCUUAGGGAAAGUACCACAGAGACGAUACUAAUUUUGCGAAGCAAAAUUAUCCUGAGCGAGCGAAGCGAGUCGAAGGGUGCAAACAUGUGCAUAUACCCUUCGACAAGCUCAGGGUCAUUUUGCUUCGCAAAAUGAAAGGUGAAAAGUGAUGUGAUGUUCGCAAGGACUACACAUCUCGCUGCAUGGUGACAUGCAUGUGUGGCAAACCCUUCUCCUCGAGCUAACGUGAGAGGAGUCACCCGAAGCUUUAUGCGAAGGGUGGUUCGGUGAAAGAGCAAAUUUGGUAGCUCGCACGAUCUCAUUGGCGACAAUGAGACAAGAUAGAUGAUCGCCUCAUUCGUCGAAAGACGGAUUAGACAAAAUUCGGCUUACAGAUCACUCCUUUAGA